GGAGGUGAAGAGUUUUCAGUUUGAACAACAAAUGAGAUGAUGCUGAGAAGGUGAAGAGUCAUGACCCCUGACCCUUAGAUAUUUUUAGAUCUAGGAGUUGUGAUGAAGAGAUGGGUAGACAAAAGGGUGUAAACAUUUUUCUAUAAAUAAAGGUUUCAUUUGCCUCAGAUGAGCAUCCUAAUUGUUCAGAGUUGGAUGAAAAGGACUGUAUCCAUGCAUUUCUUAAGUAUAAAGACCUAACCAAAUAAAAGUUUGAGACAUGGACGAAAACCAAAAACAUA
RNAcentral lists this long non-coding RNA (281 nucleotides) under Vigna radiata. Its description in RNAcentral is "long non-coding RNA (VRAD_LNC006006)". Lineage: Eukaryota; Viridiplantae; Streptophyta; Magnoliopsida; Fabales; Fabaceae. The record is from RNAcentral.